Molecule: unclassified non-coding RNA, 207 nt
Filed under: Hevea brasiliensis (rubber tree)
Lineage: Eukaryota; Viridiplantae; Streptophyta; Magnoliopsida; Malpighiales; Euphorbiaceae
Source: RNAcentral
GUUCGAACCCGGUGACUUCUUUCCAAUAACCAACGUGCAACAACCCCUGCCUCAGAUGCGCGACCCGAUAGCCUAUCGUCCCCGAAAUUACCCGAUGCCUACCCCGUGUGGGCCGGGUGUAAUAUCAUACGCCGACGGGACGCAGAGCCGCAAGAUGAGGAGGGUGGAGAUCAUACGGCCAGCUGGUCCAGCUUGUUCACGAGCGCG